ACGAGGUGAGGGGGCUGACAGCGGCAGGUGUCGAAGCUACACCAUGACGGACUCCGCCGGCGAAGUAGGCGCGCGAGAGUGAAACGCGACGACAUUGGCGGGGAACGGUCGAAGUAGGGGUGCAUGUGGUUUAAUGCGAAGAGCCGCGAAGAACCUGACCGAAGUGUGACAUCCCAAGGACGUGUCGUGAAUCGGUGAGUUCUCUUCGGGGACAUUGGUGACAGGUGGUGCAUGGUUGGCGUCAGCUCGUGUCGUGGGAUGUUGGGUUAAGUCCCGCAACGGGCGCAACCCUUGUCUUUAGUUGCAAUCAUUAAGUUGGGCACUCUAGCGAGACUGCCAGGGAUAACCUGGAGGAAGGUGGGGAUGACGUCAAAUCAUCAUGCCCCUUAUGCUUAGGGCUACAC
RNAcentral lists this ribosomal RNA (404 nucleotides) under Clostridioides difficile. RNAcentral's name for it is "bacterial SSU rRNA". The stretch from base 60 to 404 matches the Rfam family "Bacterial small subunit ribosomal RNA", at positions 875 to 1219 of the family's 1533-position model. The record is from RNAcentral. Lineage: Bacteria; Bacillati; Bacillota; Clostridia; Peptostreptococcales; Peptostreptococcaceae.